RNAcentral lists this long non-coding RNA (466 nucleotides) under Danio rerio (zebrafish). Its description in RNAcentral is "lncRNA si:ch1073-425j19.2 (ENSDARG00000098711.2)". The record is from RNAcentral. Lineage: Eukaryota; Metazoa; Chordata; Actinopteri; Cypriniformes; Danionidae.
GGAAUGAAACAAUACAGAGAGUGAGACAGGAUCUGAAGAGUGCGACAAUACAGAGAGUGAGACAGGAUCUAAAGAGUGAGACAAUACAGAGAGUGAGACAGGUUCUAACAGGAUCUAAAGUGUGAGACAAUACAGAGAGUGAGACAGGAUCUAAAGAGUGAGACAGCACAGAGAGUGAGACAAUACAGAGAGUGAGACAGGAUCUAAAGAGUGAGACAGCACAGAGAGUGAGACAAUACAGAAGGUGAGACAGGAUCUAAAGAGUGAGACAGCACAGAGAGUGAGACAAUACAGAGAGUGAGACAGGAUCAAAAGAGUGAGACAGGACAGAAAAAGAAGUAAUCGAGGAGAAAAAAAUACGAGUUAAUAAGAGAGACAGAACUGGAAGUAUGAGACAGGACAGAGAUUAAAAACAAUACCGAGAGUGAGACAGAACUAAAAGAGUGAGACAGAACAGAUAAUGAAA